This is an RNA transcript of Abrus precatorius (Indian licorice), 1413 nucleotides long. It is a transcript of the gene named OTU domain-containing protein DDB_G0284757, with no coding region annotated. The record is from RefSeq and is a predicted model, not a curated record. The transcript has 11 exons. NCBI's taxonomy places the organism in Eukaryota, Viridiplantae, Streptophyta, Magnoliopsida, Fabales, Fabaceae.
UUUCUCUUUUUAAUUUUUAUUACGCGCCUUGUGUUUCCUUCGUCUUUCACGGACCCAUUCGUUACUCAGUUUGAUCCAAAUCAGAACUACUCAUUAAUUUAAUCGAUUGCAGCAAAAGAUUCACAGGUUUAGAAAUUGAGAAUUGUGAUAAAUUUUAGCUUUAGGUUGAAGCUUCCAGUUAUUGCCAGCUCAGGGCAUAAUGAAUGGAACUCAAUACUGGGGUGAAAGUUCCAGCUCGAAUUCCGUAAGCAGUCAGCAGGAUACCGAGGAUGACCAAAUGAUUGCUCUCGUGUUGUCGGAAGAGUAUGCCAAAUUGGAUGGUGCAGUUGGCAGACGACUUUCCAACUUGGCACCUGUUCCUCAUGUGCCCCGAAUAAACUCAUUCUUCCCCAACAUAAAUGAUGCUAGCAUGGAUCACCAGCGUCUUCUUCAGAGGUUACAAAUCUAUGGUCUCUGUGAAGUUAAAGUCUCUGGAGAUGGAAAUUGUCAGUUUCGUGCACUGUCAGAUCAGCUCUUUAGAUCACCUGAAUACCACAAGCAUGUUCGAAAAGAGAUUGUAAAACAGCUCAAAGAUCAUCAUUCCUCAUAUGAAUGUUAUGUACCAAUGAAGUAUAAACAAUAUUACAAGAGAAUGGCAAAAUCUGGAGAAUGGGGGGACCACGUUACCUUACAGGCAGCUGCUGAUAAGUUUUCUGCAAAGAUAUGCCUUUUGACAUCAUUCAGAGACACUUGUUUCAUUGAAAUUAUGCCACUGUAUCAAGCACCAAAGCGUGAGCUGUGGUUAAGCUUUUGGUCUGAGGUACAUUACAAUUCACUAUACGACAUUCAAGAAGCACCAAUCCCACGUAAACCGAAGAGGAAACACUGGCUGUUUUAGGAGAAGCCGAUUAUAAGCUUUAAGAUGCGGUACUGUUUAAUUAUUUUAAAGCUUCAACUUGGUUUUGAACUUCAUCGGGAAAUCAAGUCCUCUCAACUUUGUAAAAAAAUCGUCUUAAUAGCAGUAUCUUUUAUACCACCUCCACGCUUGAAGAUCUCAAUCACUCUUCCAUCCAUCAGCUCUUCUUAGAAGCCAAAAUAUUGGAAAAUAGACAUCCUUUAAGAAUAUAAAAUAGCUACUAUACAUGUUUCUCAAUUUAGGAAAGUAACUUGCCAAUUGAAAAAUGAAGGAUCUAUAUUUCGAAGUUUCAAAAAUGACAAGAGAGAGAACGAGGGAGGCAAAGCAUUGAAGCAAUAACUUCUCCCCCUUUUCAUUUAUAUUUUGUUGCCGGAUGUUUUUUUAAAAUCCUUUUUAGAUUUAUUAUUUCACUUAUUCCCUUUGGGUUUUAUGAUAAAGAGUGGCACAGUUGUAGUUUUCAUUGUAAAGUUACUGGCUACUUUUUUAAUUUUAGCAGAUUUAUCUACAUGUCUGACAUU